Cephus cinctus (wheat stem sawfly) is the source of this 2452-nucleotide long non-coding RNA. RefSeq lists it as uncharacterized. Lineage: Eukaryota; Metazoa; Arthropoda; Insecta; Hymenoptera; Cephidae. The record is from RefSeq and is a predicted model, not a curated record. The transcript has 6 exons.
GUGAAUUUAUAUAUAUAUAUAUCGAUUGGAGGAAAAUUCGCAAAUUCACAAUCGUCAAUUAAUGACUUUACAAAUGACUAAUGACGACUCCCGUCGUGACUAACUCCGUCUGGUGAGACACGGGAGUCUAUCAAAUCAAUACAGUGCCAAAGUAUCUGCUAUUAUCGAUAAACAGUUAUAUUUACUGAAUAAUGUCAGCAGAUGCAAUGACACCUAUGCACUUAUGGUUUGAUGCACCUGUCUUAUGCAUUAAAGUACUUCAUAGGCUACCUGUGGCGUCAGCAGUACUGACUGCUCCUGGAAACGAUUUGAAUAAUUGAUUUUACAUUGCGCCACCAUCAAGCGACCUUAUUUCCAUCACUGUGUACAGUCCACCUACCAGACUAACUCAGAGUUUAUUUUUAUUUCUACAAUAUCGCUCUUCAACACUGUUCUAGAUUGAAGAAUGCGUUACUUUCAUCAGACCGUUCCAGGGAUAAUCGGUCUACCUAGUAUUUGGUGGAAGGACGCGAUCCUGGAACUGGCGUAUGAACGAGCUACACACGUACCCCGUCCCUGUGAGACACGCACGGCCAUCCCCCACGUGUCCCUAUGGCAUUUAGCGGGUAUUGAAUUUCAUACAAUAAAGCGCUUUGUGCGGUAUCCUCUUACACGGGGCAGGGCGUGCGCGUGCCAAAAUGAAAAAACCGCAAAACGCCAUGAGGCCAUUGUAUAUGCUUACGCCAUUGCUCCAUUAUUUGCUCGUUCGGCUCUGAGAUCCAUUCGCAAGGGUUUUCGUAACACGAGAUCGUAGAUGAAGGAUAAAACAUCAUGGAAGCGACCAAGGGAUGGAAACGGUACCCAUAAAGGAUGGACUCGAAGAAUCCUAACCUAGAAAACAGCCGCAAGGAUACUUCGCCACAGCGGAUACGUACUUGGGUGCCAAAGGAUGCGCGCACCUUUUCCAUCUGCUCGACCGGAUUCGUAUCUGAAUGCUGACCAGCUAACAAAUCGAAUUACGAUUCUUCACGUUGCGUUGGUAACGUUCUUCUGAAUUCUUGAAAAUGGGACCUUUCCGAAGGAAGACAAAUUCUCAUACAACCCAUUCAGCAGAGAUCCAUACUACGUACAGGAAGCUUUGACAUGCGACGAAACGCGUCCUUGACUCGCAUACGGAAUUUUCUAAUCGUUUACAUCAGGACGAUUCAAACGGUGCAGGAAUUCCCGCCAAGAUCGAGGUGCAUGCUGGAAUCUAUGAAAAUUCCACGUAUAAGGCGCACGUGGACGUGUCGGGAUGUCGUUGCGCAUUAGAAGUGGGUUAGGACUUCCAAGGUCAACGUGUAUUCUCUUUACCGAUUCCUUUUACUUUCUUUUUUCUCCUGCUCAAGACGAGUCUUCCCCCAUCUUCCUUCUCUCUUCUCGGAUGCACCCAUCGUUCAGCUCCUUAUCGCACACACGUAUAUAUGGACACCGUGUAGUCUCCGUGCGUGGAGACUCGCCUUGAUGCUUGUAGCCGGUUAGAGAGGACGGUCGCGUGCCGUGGAUCCCCCACUCUGUCUUACAGAAAAUCUUACGUUUUAUAUGGAGGCUCUAUGUCAUUAUCCUCUUGCAGAUUUUUAUACAGUCGACGCUUCGGGUAACUUGUCGUUCGACGUCUAUACUUACGUUUAUAUAUGUAUGAAAAAAAAAAGGGCAUCGUGACGCCACCUCUCGCCCAUGCCCUUCAUGGAGCUCUAUCACGCAUGCGCUCUCUCAACUGGAUGCAAUCAAUCUUUUUGAAUGACCUUGAUAUUUAGCUGCUACAUAGGCGAGAUGUUCCUUUUUCUGUGCAACGACACGCCCGAUCGUUCAGCGACGCCUUCUCGAAUUGCAUUUGCGAUCGAUCGCUGGCGGCUCUUUUGAACGUGGUUACUUUGAAUAUUUUUGUUUACGGAACUCUUGUCCUCGGGGUGCGUGCAGUGGACAGUUCCUGGUAUGUCGGUACCUACUAUCUGAUCGGUAACUACAGGGGGUACGGGAACGUCUUUAAAAGGGGUGGCAGGGUCAAAUCGCAACCCCUUAGAAAAUAAAUAAUAUAUAUCGUUGGUGUCAUCUUUCGACGUGUGCAUAUCCAGGAGCGAUUCUUCGAUGCGUUCGUGGGGCACAUCUGCCUGUUUCACCCUUUGGAUACUAACCGGGGGGUUGAAUUUAUUUUGCCAGGUUUCUUUUUUUAUAAUUUUGUACAAUUAGUUUUUUUAUCUGGUUCUUUAAUGUGGAAUAGGAUUGUUGCACGUUGCUAAGUAAGGAUAGUUCUUUUAUUUGCACUGGUUGGUGCACCUUGUAUUCUGUCAAUGCUGCAUCCAAGAACCUGUUAACCUGCUUGGUACCGCUCCUUGAAGUUUGAAAAAAAUACAUAAAAAAAUGUCCAAAGCACAUGGUUGUUUGAUCAGAAUAAUAUUUAUUGAUAAUCGGAAAAACUGUUAUUACUGUGAAG